CAGGCCUAACACAUGCAAGUCGAGCGAGGCAUCUAUCUUGAAAUCUGGCCAGCGAUAAGUGCGAAGUUGGUAUUGGAUGGGUGAGUAACGCGUGGGCAACCUACCUUGUACAGUGGGAUAACAGUCGGAAACGAUUGCUAAUACCGCAUAACACUAGAUUAAGGCAUCUUAAUCUAGUCAAAGAACUUCGGUACAAGAUGGGCCCGCGUCUGAUUAGCUAGUUGGUAAGGUAAAGGCUUACCAAGGCGACGAUCAGUAGCCGGCCUGAGAGGGUGGACGGCCACACUGGAACUGAGACACGGUCCAGACUCCUACGGGAGGCAGCAGUGGGGGAUCUUGCACAAUGGGCGCAAGCCUGAUGCAGCGACGCCGCGUGAGCGAAGAAGGCCUUCGGGUCGUAAAGCUCUGUUUCGAGGGAAGAUAAUGACGGUACCUUGAGAGAAAGCCCCGGCUAACUACGUGCCAGCAGCCGCGGUAAUACGUAGGGGGCAAGCGUUAUCCGGAAUUAUUGGGCGUAAAGGGUGCGUAGGCGGCCAUUAAAGUCAGAGGUUAAAGCCCACGGCUUAACCGUGGUAAGCCUUUGAAACUUAGUGGCUUGAGUACAGGAGAGGAGAGUGGAAUUCCUAGUGUAGCGGUGAAAUGCGUAGAUAUUAGGAGGAACACCAGUGGCGAAGGCGACUCUCUGGACUGUAACUGACGCUGAUGCACGAAAGCGUGGGUAGCGAACAGGAUUAGAUACCCUGGUAGUCCACGCCGUAAACGAUGAGUGCUAGGUGUUGGGGGUCAAACCUCAGUGCCGCAGUUAACGCAUUAAGCACUUCGCCUGGGGAGUACGGUCGCAAGACUAAAACUCAAAGGAAUUGACGGGGACCCGCACAAGCAGCGGAGCAUGUGGUUUAAUUCGAAGCAACGCGAGGAACCUUACCUGGACUUGACAUCCUUCUGCCAUAUCCAUAACGGGAUACUCUCCUUCGGGGACAGAAGAGACAGGUGGUGCAUGGUUGUCGUCAGCUCGUGUCGUGAGAUGUUGGGUUAAGUCCCGCAACGAGCGCAACCCUUGUCUUUAGUUGCCAUCAGGUAAAGCUGGGCACUCUAGAGAGACUGCCAAGGUAAACUUGGAGGAAGGUGGGGAUGACGUCAAAUCAUCAUGCCCCUUAUGUUCAGGGCUACACACGUGCUACAAUGGCCGAUACAAAGAGCAGCGAGAGGGUAACCUUAAGCAAAUCUCAUAAAGUCGGUCCCAGUUCGGAUUGUGGGCUGAAACUCGCCCACAUGAAGUCGGAGUUGCUAGUAAUCGCGAAUCAGAAUGUCGCGGUGAAUGCGUUCCCGGGCCUUGUACACACCGCCC
RNAcentral lists this ribosomal RNA (1348 nucleotides) under uncultured bacterium. RNAcentral describes it as "bacterial SSU rRNA". It matches the Rfam family "Bacterial small subunit ribosomal RNA", at positions 43 to 1395 of the family's 1533-position model. The record is from RNAcentral.